This 446-nucleotide ribosomal RNA is filed under the name uncultured bacterium. Its description in RNAcentral is "partial 16S ribosomal RNA". It matches the Rfam family "Bacterial small subunit ribosomal RNA", at positions 338 to 795 of the family's 1533-position model. The record is from RNAcentral.
CCUACGGGUGGCUGCAGUCGAGAAUCAUUCACAAUGGGGGAAACCCUGAUGGUGCGACGCCGCGUGGGGGAAUGAAGGUCUUCGGAUUGUAGACCCCUGUCAUGUGGGGGCAAAUUAAAAAGAUAGUACCACAAGAGGAAGAGACGCCUAACUCUGUGCCAGCACCCGCGGUAAUACAGAGGUCUCAAGCGUUGUUCGGAAUCACUGGGCGUAAGGCGUGCGUAGGCUGUUUCGUAAGUCGUGUGUGAAAGGCGCGGGCUCAACCCGCGGACGGCACAUGAUACUGCGAGACUAGAGUAAUGGAGGGGGAACCGGAAUUCUCGGUGUAGCAGUGAAAUGCGUAGAUAUCGAGAGGAACACUCGUGGCGAAGGCGGGUUCCUGGACAUUAACUGACGCUGAGGCACGAAGGCCAGGGGAGCGAAAGGGAUUAGAUACCCUGGUAGUC